This 1704-nucleotide long non-coding RNA is filed under the name Homo sapiens (human). RNAcentral describes it as "HSALNT0394285". The record is from RNAcentral. Lineage: Eukaryota; Metazoa; Chordata; Mammalia; Primates; Hominidae.
UAUCAGAAAUGUUAUGAAAGUGGCUUCAGCUCAUAUUUCCUUAAUCAAACCGAAUCCCAUGGUCAUGUCCAAGUUAAACUGUAAGGAAGUGCAAUUCUACCAAGUGGUCAGGAGAAAGGGAACCAGAUAUUCAUGAGCAACCAAACAACUACUGCAUCCACUUCCCAACCAAAGUAGGAAUCUCCUCAUCUACGUCUCUGACAAGGGCUGAAGGGGAUCUGAUUGGGAAUAUGGGGGGUUUGUGUUGUCAUUUUAAAACCAAGGUAUAUAGGGGAUGUCUUCUGAAUUCAAAGAGUAACAUGGAAUAGUUGCAGAAUUAAUUGUUUCAGUUUCACUUGUCUGCCUUGCUCUGUAGUGUGGGCACCAAAGUUCCCCAGUCCACAUCACAGGUGGCUAGUAGUCAACCCCCACCCUCAAAAGACCAUUACAGCCUAAGAUUAUAAUGGCCAUAGCUGGACCAAGAGCUUAAAGGGUAACCUCAGUCUAACAAUGACAACAGCAUUCAGGUUUGCCUCGAUUUGCAAAUUCAAGUGCACCGAGGCAUACCAUGUGAAAUCACAACAGCAUCAUUCCAGUCAUAAGAAAUCACAGUGAAGAUGAGUGCCAGCAGACAUACGAUAGGAAAACACCUAAGAAUGGAAAGAGUAUGAAUCACAGAAACUCCUGAUGAAUUACCAACUGAGUUCACUGUGAGCUGAACCAAAACGCCAUCACUUCUUCACACAGACUUCUGUCCAGCCAAGGGGAAUGUGGGGUCUUGCUUAGGGCCAAGCACACCAUAUGCAUGGAAUAUCCAUUUUCUGGAGGGCCUCAUCAUCUAGCCGGACAGAAUGUUAUCACCUUCUUAUCCAAAGGCUUUGUCUUAUGGUGAGGAAGCUGGUGAGGCAAGCUGCACUGAACACUCAGGUGUUGUGAAAAUGUCUUCUGGGCAUGUAACAUCACAGUGAGUCACAGAACACAGAGACCAGAGGAUCAAGAAGACUAGACAGGCGUGCUUUGGACGCAUAAAGACCUACCUCAUCUUGCUGCCAACUCAAGACUGCCUUGUAUGGAUGAUCCCUCUGAAAAAAAGUCUUCAAUUGCCUCCCAACCAGGAGGGGUUGGUCUGCCUCCUUUUUUUGGUUUGAGCUUGCCCUUCACUUAAAAGAGGAUAGGCAGGGUUCUGGCAGAGAACUUUCCCAACAUCAGUCCUUUUUGACAGUCCCCCUUCACUCUCCCAUCCAAAAACAGGACUUCAGUGGAAAAUAUAACUGAGGUUCUGGAAGAUGCUCUCCAUGAGCUACAUAUACACAGAACAGUAGCAAAUUAACCUGGAAAUAACCCCCAAAAGACCUUAGGGAAAGACAUUUAUUCUUCAGGGUUUAUAUAAAGCACUGCUUGGGAUGAAGGAAAAUGCUGAUAUUCCAACUGAGUGAAACAUUAACUCAGAUACCAGUAAGAGUCUACAGGAAGAAGUGUAUGGAUUAUGAAUGUGAAAGGCCCUUUGCCACACCUAACAUAGCACCUAAUAGGUAUACACAGUUCAUCCACAUCUUCCAGGCCCUUCAAAAGAUGAAGACCACCCCUCCCCCAGAUCACUUCACAUGCACAGGUGGUUGAGUCUAAAUCCCAGGUAAAAACAAGUUAUGGCAGCAGGAUUCAUGCCCACACUUCUUCAAAUCCCUCAGAGUGUUGGGGACACUCAGGGCUCAAUACAGGCCUUGA